RNAcentral lists this long non-coding RNA (1029 nucleotides) under Pogona vitticeps (central bearded dragon). Its description in RNAcentral is "lncRNA (ENSPVIG00000013087.1)". Lineage: Eukaryota; Metazoa; Chordata; Lepidosauria; Squamata; Agamidae. The record is from RNAcentral.
UAGAGAUAGAAAGGCUAACAUUGUAAUUAUUGCUGUUUCACUAGCAACAUUAUAAUGUAUUAUACACGAGCAAAGAGUGAAAUUAAUACUGUUUCUCCUUAGCAAAUGGAGAUAUUUAUUUGUCAUUAUCUGUGACUCAGUUUCCUGUAGUGCAGACCAGAUGGUGUGGCUAAAACAGUCAUGCUGGGAAUAUGGUUAGUAUCUGCCUAGUAUGGUAAACAGAGUACAUGAACAGGAAAUUGUGUGUACUGGCUGAUUAAGGGAUGGAUGUCCUGGCAUCACACGUGUUCCUCUCUGGUCUGCCUGCUGGUGUGGGUUGGAUAUAAUCAAGCUCUGGAACUUCUCACAGCUCAUGGACAAGCAUGUGCGUUGCCUCUGGGUGAGAGUGGCACCAGAUUGGCCCAGGUUGUUGGUGGCUGUGUCAGCACUGAGAUAGAAAGCAGUGACUCUCAUUUGUUGUGGCCUUGUCUCACUCCCAGGCUGGUUGUUCCUGCCCUGCGUAUGUCUCCAACUCAGCAACCACAGUGUCCAAGAACCCUGCUGAGAUGCUCAAAGUGGAGGCCGAUGGUCCACCAAGGCUCCAGUGGGGAUCCUCUCACAUCUCCUAACAUAACAAUUGUACGAAUACUCUGAGGAGCACUGACGACAGAUGGACAACGAGCUUGGGCUUUAGCUGUGCUGUGGAUCGUGGACACAUCCAACCCCCAAACAGACCACCUCAAAGGUUUAGUAUCUUCCCAAAAUUUAUAGUUCCCUUCUAUGGAUUCCAUAUGUAAUAUGUUCUUCAUUAUGGCCUUAGAUUCUUUCCGAGUUGCAAGUAGACAGAUAGUCUGCACACAACUGGCCUAUGGGGUAUUGUUCCAAAUUCUUUCACUCCUUCCAAGGGACCAAUCAUCUAUGCUGCAGACUCACAGUGUGAAAAGAUAGAAACAGAAAUCAGAAUACUGUCUUUUAUUAGCAGGGUCUGGAUGAACACAGGCUCUUUCCCCCGGACAGAAAUGUCAAGAGUGAAUGGUCAAAGCAUUUUUU